UACAGAGGGUGCAAGCGUUGUUCGUAAUUAUUGGGCGUAAAGCGCGUGUAGGCGGCAGUGCAAGUCGGGUGUGAAAGCCCUCGGCUCAACCGAGGAAGUGCGCUCGAAACUGCAUUGCUUGAGUACCGGAGAGGAUGGCGGAAUUCCCGAAGUAGAGGUGAAAUUCGUAGAUAUCGGGAGGAACACCGGUGGCGAAGGCGGCCAUCUGGACGGAUACUGACGCUGAGACGCGAAAGCGUGGGUAGCAAACAGG
This 253-nucleotide ribosomal RNA is filed under the name uncultured bacterium. RNAcentral's name for it is "partial 16S ribosomal RNA". It matches the Rfam family "Bacterial small subunit ribosomal RNA", at positions 524 to 776 of the family's 1533-position model. The record is from RNAcentral.